UGUAAAAAAUAUUAGAAAAGAGGGGCGAAAGAUACCAGAGGGACAGUCAAACUCAUAGAUCGAAAAUAAACUGACCAUGGCAUAGCUAAAAAUGAAAAAGACCAACAGACAAAUGAUAGUACAUACAUGACAUAUGCCACAAUUUAAAAAAAGAAAAGACAACGCAACAUGAAUCACUCCAAAAAUGGAGGUGAAGAGAAGAGAAGGGUCAAACAAAAAAAUAUUAUUCGUAUAAAAUCUACAGAAAAACGACAACAAUGAAUAUGCUGUUAGUGCAGUCUAUUUUUUUUUCUAGUUGUACAUUUUGUUACAUAUACAGGCAUGUACACUGUCCCACUUAUCAACAUUGUGAAUCAAAACAGAGAUAGCAUACCAGGUUGAUGUAUGGAUUAGCAGACCAGGAAAACAAUCCAUGUCUUUCUCUUAGUCGAGGUGCAGAUUGUACGUGACAUUUAAACAUAGUGUUUUUUUUUCUAGCAGUAAAUGCAAGACAUGUUAUAGUGAACUGACUAAACAAUCAAUCCUUAAUCAAUUUGAAUUGUUACGCAGCAGCUAUGUUAAAUACUUAUAUUUUAAGAAAAAUAACAAAAAAGAAAAAGUAAUAUAUAUGUAUAAAAUCUUUGUCGGAGAAUACAGUUGUAUUUAACUUACUAUAUU
RNAcentral lists this long non-coding RNA (657 nucleotides) under Mytilus galloprovincialis (Mediterranean mussel). Lineage: Eukaryota; Metazoa; Mollusca; Bivalvia; Mytilida; Mytilidae. The record is from RNAcentral.